RNAcentral lists this ribosomal RNA (458 nucleotides) under uncultured bacterium. RNAcentral describes it as "partial 16S ribosomal RNA". It matches the Rfam family "Bacterial small subunit ribosomal RNA", at positions 338 to 795 of the family's 1533-position model. The record is from RNAcentral.
CCUACGGGGGGCAGCAGUGAGGAAUAUUGGUCAAUGGGCGAGAGCCUGAACCAGCCAAGUCGCGUGAGGGAGUACUGCCCUAUGGGUUGUAAACCUCUUUUGUCGGGGAGCAAAAGCCGGACGUGUCCGGCUGUGAGAGUACCCGAAGAAAAAGCAUCGGCUAACUCCGUGCCAGCAGCCGCGGUAAUACGGGGGAUGCGAGCGUUAUCCGGAUUUAUUGGGUUAAAGGGGUGCGCGGGCGGAUUUUUAAGUCAGCGGUAAAAUCGUGGGGCUCAACCCCAUCCAGCCGUUGAAACUGGGGAUCUAGAGUGUGCGAGAGGUAUGCGGAAUGCGUGGUGUAGCGGUGAAAUGCAUAGAUAUCACGCAGAACCCCGAUUGCGAAGGCAGCAUACCGGUGCACAACUGACGCUCAGGCACGAAAGCGUGGGUAUCGAACAGGAUUAGAUACCCCUGUAGUC